Molecule: ribosomal RNA, 543 nt
Filed under: Panstrongylus megistus
Lineage: Eukaryota; Metazoa; Arthropoda; Insecta; Hemiptera; Reduviidae
Description: partial 16S ribosomal RNA
Rfam family: Bacterial large subunit ribosomal RNA
Source: RNAcentral
CAAAAACAUGUCCUUUUGUUUUUUAUUUAAGGUCUGACCUGCCCAAUGAGGAAUUGAAUGGCCGCAGUAUUUUAACUGUGCUAAGGUAGCAUAAUCAUUUGUCUUUUAAUUGAGGGCUGGAAUGAAAGGUUGGACGAAAUAUUAGCUUUCUUUGUCUUAAUUUGAAGAACUUAAUUUUUGAGUUAAAAAGCUUAAAUAUUUUUGUUGGACGAGAAGACCCUAUAGAUCUUUAUAAUUUUAUGUUUUGGUAAUUUAGAUUAUUAUUUACUUAAAGCAAAGUAAUUAUUUUGUUGGGGUGACUGUAGAAUUAAAAUAACUUCUAUUUAUUUGUUUCAUUUAUUAAUGUUUUUAUGAUCCAUAUUUUAUGAUUAUAAGAUUAAGUUACCUUAGGGAUAACAGCGUAAUUUUCUCGGAAAGUUCAUAUUGAUGAGAGAGUUUGCGACCUCCAUGUUGGAUUAAAAUAAGUUAUGGAUGCAGAAGUUUAUAUACUAGGUCUGUUCGACCUUUAAAAUUUUUACAUGAUCUGAGUUCAAAACCGGGAGA